Non-coding RNA from Podarcis lilfordi (Lilford's wall lizard), 86 nucleotides. The record is from the annotation of a GenBank genome assembly. NCBI's taxonomy places the organism in Eukaryota, Metazoa, Chordata, Lepidosauria, Squamata, Lacertidae.
AGCUGUUUUUGGACUACAACUCCCAUCAUCCCUGACCACUGGUUCAGCUAGCUAGGGAUGAUGGGAGUUGUAGUCCAAAAGCAGUU